This 468-nucleotide ribosomal RNA is filed under the name uncultured bacterium. RNAcentral describes it as "partial 16S ribosomal RNA". It matches the Rfam family "Bacterial small subunit ribosomal RNA", at positions 28 to 507 of the family's 1533-position model. The record is from RNAcentral.
GACGAACGCUGGCGGCGUGCUUAACACAUGCAAGUCGAACGGAAAGGCCCUGCUUUUGUGGGGUGCUCGAGUGGCGAACGGGUGAGUAACACGUGAGUAACCUGCCCUUGACUUUGGGAUAACUUCAGGAAACUGGGGCUAAUACCGGAUAGGAGCUCCUGCUGCAUGGUGGGGGUUGGAUAGUUUCGGCGGUUGGGGAUGGACUCGCGGCUUAUCAGCUUGUUGGUGGGGUAGUGGCUUACCAAGGCUUUGACGGGUAGCCGGCCUGAGAGGGUGACCGGCCACAUUAGGACUGAGAUACGGCCCAGACUCGUACGGGAGGCAGCAGUGGAGAAGAUUGCACAAUGGGAGGGAGGCUGACGCAGCAACGCAGCGUGCGGGAUGACGGGCUGCGGGUUGUAAACCGAUUUCGCCUGUGACGAGGCGUGAGUGACGGUAAUGGGUAAAGAAGCACCGGCUAACUACGUG